Molecule: ribosomal RNA, 393 nt
Filed under: uncultured bacterium
Lineage: Bacteria
Description: partial 16S ribosomal RNA
Rfam family: Bacterial small subunit ribosomal RNA
Source: RNAcentral
AUACGGAGGAUGCAAGCGUUAUCCGGAUUUAUUGGGUUUAAAGGGUGCGUAGGCUGUUCGGAAAGUCAGGGGUGAAAGCCCGGCGCCUAACGCCGGAACUGCCUUUGAUACUUUCGAGCUGGAAUACGGAUGCCGUGGGAGGAAUGAGUAGUGUAGCGGUGAAAUGCAUAGAUAUUACUCAGAACACCGAUUGCGAAGGCAUCUCACGAAUCCGUCAUUGACGCUGAGGCACGAAAGCGUGGGGAUCAAACAGGAUUAGAUACCCUGGUAGUCCACGCCGUAAACGAUGAUGACUAACCGUCGGCGAUAGACAGCCGGUGGCCAAGCGAAAGCGAUAAGUCAUCCACCUGGGGAGUACGUCGGCAACGAUGAAACUCAAAGGAAUUGGCGGGG